Molecule: ribosomal RNA, 406 nt
Filed under: uncultured bacterium
Lineage: Bacteria
Description: partial 16S ribosomal RNA
Rfam family: Bacterial small subunit ribosomal RNA
Source: RNAcentral
AUUGAACGCUGGCGGCAGGCCUAACACAUGCAAGUCGAGCGAGCGGCGGACGGGUGAGUAAUGUAUGGGGCUCUGCCUGAUGGAGGGGGCAAACUACUGGAACCGGUAGCUAAUCCCGCAUACCCACAGAUGCACCCAUAUGGGCUUAGCGAGUAGGUGAGGUAAGGGCGCACAGAGGCGACGCUCCCUAGCUGGUCUGAGAGGAUGAUCAGCGACACUGGGACUGAGACACGGCCCAGACGCCUACGGUAGGCAUCAUGGGGGAAUAGUGGACAAUGGGCGCAAGCCUGAUGCAGCCAUGCCGCGUGUAUGAAGAAGGCCUUCGGGUUGUAAAGUACUUUCAGUCGGGAGGCGUUAUCGACAGAAGAAGCACCGGCUAACUCCGUGCCAGCAGCCGCGGUAAUUC